GGAUUCCUCAGUAACGGCGAGUGAACGGGGAUUAGCCCAUCACCGAAGCCCGUGUGCUUUUGCAUACAGGGCAAUGUGGUGUUAAGGCUUGCACCUGGGACUGUGAACUCACCAUAAGUCCAGCUCCGAUUCUGGCUUAUUGUGGUCCAAAGCGGGUGAAAGACCCGUGAUGGUGGGUUAUGGAAUAUAUCGCAGUCCUCAGAUGUGCGUGCCUUCGAGUCGGAUUGCUUGAGAAUGCAUUCCAAAAUGGGUGGUAUUCUCCCUCCCAGGCAUAAGACA
Molecule: ribosomal RNA, 279 nt
Filed under: Haliotrematoides spinatus
Lineage: Eukaryota; Metazoa; Platyhelminthes; Monogenea; Dactylogyridea; Ancyrocephalidae
Description: partial large subunit ribosomal RNA
Rfam family: Eukaryotic large subunit ribosomal RNA
Source: RNAcentral